GUGGGGAAUCUUCCGCAAUGGACGAAAGUCUGACGGAGCAACGCCGCGUGAGUGAAGAAGGUUUUCGGAUCGUAAAGCUCUUUCGUUAGGGACGAACGUGCUCUUUGUGAAUAAUGAGGAGUAAUGACGGUACCUAAAUAAGAAGCCACGGCUAACUACGUGCCAGCAGUCGCGGUAAUACGUAGGUGGCAAGCGUUGUCCGGAAUUAUUGGGCGUAAAGCGCGCGCAGGCGGGAUAUCAAGUCUGUCUUAAAAGUGCGAGGCUCAACCUCGUGAGGGGACAGAAACUGGUAUUCUUGAGUGUCGGAGAGGAAAGUGGAAUUCCAAGUGUAGCGGUGAAAUGCGUAGAGAUUUGGAAGAACACCAGUGGCGAAGGCGACUUUCUGGACGAUGUCUGACGCUGAGGCGCGAAAGCUAGGGGAGCGAACGGGAUUAGAAACCCGAGUAGUCC
RNAcentral lists this ribosomal RNA (450 nucleotides) under uncultured bacterium. Its description in RNAcentral is "partial 16S ribosomal RNA". It matches the Rfam family "Bacterial small subunit ribosomal RNA", at positions 354 to 796 of the family's 1533-position model. The record is from RNAcentral.